GAUGAACGCUGGCGGCGUGCCUAAUACAUGCCAGUCGAGCGAACAGACGAGGAGCUUGCUCCUCUGACGUUAGCGGCGGACGGGUGAGUAACACGUGGAUAACCUACCUAUAAGACUGGGAUAACUUCGGGAAACCGGAGCUAAUACCGGAUAAUAUAUUGAACCGCAUGGUUCAAUAGUGAAAGACGGUCUUGCUGUCACUUAUAGAUGGAUCCGCGCUGCAUUAGCUAGUUGGUAAGGUAACGGCUUACCAAGGCAACGAUGCAUAGCCGACCUGAGAGGGUGAUCGGCCACACUGGAACUGAGACACGGUCCAGACUCCUACGGGAGGCAGCAGUAGGGAAUCUUCCGCAAUGGGCGAAAGCCUGACGGAGCAACGCCGCGUGAGUGAUGAAGGUCUUCGGAUCGUAAAACUCUGUUAUUAGGGAAGAACAAAUGUGUAAGUAACUAUGCACAUCUUGACGGUACCUAAUCAGAAAGCCACGGCUAACUACGUG
This 497-nucleotide ribosomal RNA is filed under the name uncultured bacterium. Its description in RNAcentral is "partial 16S ribosomal RNA". It matches the Rfam family "Bacterial small subunit ribosomal RNA", at positions 28 to 507 of the family's 1533-position model. The record is from RNAcentral.